RNAcentral lists this ribosomal RNA (333 nucleotides) under Triticum aestivum (bread wheat). RNAcentral describes it as "partial small subunit ribosomal RNA". The record is from RNAcentral. Lineage: Eukaryota; Viridiplantae; Streptophyta; Magnoliopsida; Poales; Poaceae.
AUGGAAAUCCAGGACGUAGUAGAACAUGAGCCCCCGGACAAAGGGGUGAAGUGGGAAGCCCAGUCCGCGGAGGAAGUGGUUGAGGAACACCACCCUCUCAUGGGGCCUAGGGGUGGGGAUGAGUUGCCCCUCAUUUGGGAGCCAGUGCGCGAUGUCGUUAGACAAGUAUCCGGCUUUCCUCAACUUUCUGAUGUGCCCCUCUGUGAUGGUGGAGGCCAUCCAUCUACCUCCCGCUCCGGACAUGAUUGGAGAAGGUUGAGGUGGGAAGUGCGGACUUGGGCGCUGGAGCUCGAGUGCGCGGAAAUGGAUAAGCAAAAGAGGAAGAAGGCGUAG